Molecule: transfer RNA, 69 nt
Filed under: Selenophorus alternans
Lineage: Eukaryota; Metazoa; Arthropoda; Insecta; Coleoptera; Carabidae
Description: tRNA-Gln
Source: RNAcentral
UACAUUUUAGUAUACGACGUACAUGAAUUUUUGAUAUUCAAGGCAAUAGUUUGAUUCUAUUAAAUGUAA